This 432-nucleotide ribosomal RNA is filed under the name uncultured bacterium. Its description in RNAcentral is "partial 16S ribosomal RNA". It matches the Rfam family "Bacterial small subunit ribosomal RNA", at positions 29 to 506 of the family's 1533-position model. The record is from RNAcentral.
AACGAACGCUGGCGGCAUGCCUAACACAUGCAAGUCGAACGAGACCUUCGGGUCUAGUGGCGCACGGGUGCGUAACGCGUGGGAACCUGCCCUUAGGUUCGGAAUCACUCCCCGAAAGGGGUGCUAAUACCGGAUAAUGUCUUCGGACCAAAGAUUUAUCGCCUUUGGAUGGGCCCGCGUUGGAUUAGCUAGUUGGUAGGGUAAAAGCCUACCAAGGCGACGAUCCAUAGCUGGUCUGAGAGGAUGAUCAGCCACACUGGGACUGAGACACGGCCCAGACUCCUACGGGAGGCAGCAGUGGGGAAUAUUGGACAAUGGGCGAAAGCCUGAUCCAGCAAUGCCGCGUGAGUGAUGAAGGCCUUAGGGUUGUAAAGCUCUUUUACCCGGGAUGAUAAUGACAGUACCGGGAGAAUAAGCUCCGGCUAACUCCGU